Molecule: non-coding RNA, 65 nt
Organism: Dipodomys ordii (Ord's kangaroo rat)
Lineage: Eukaryota; Metazoa; Chordata; Mammalia; Rodentia; Heteromyidae
Source: Rfam
GGUGGCUCAGUGGUAGAGCGCUUGCCUUGCAUGCGUGAGUCCCUGAGUUCGAUUCCUCAGCACCA